GAUGAACGCUGGCGGCGUGCCUAAUACAUGCAAGUCGAGCGAACAGACGAGGAGCUUGCUCCUCUGACGUUAGCGGCGGACGGGUGAGUAACACGUGGAUAACCUACCUAUAAGACUGGGAUAACUUCGGGAAACCGGAGCUAAUACCGGAUAAUAUAUUGAACCGCAUGGUUCAAUAGUGAAAGACGGUUUUGCUGUCACUUAUAGAUGGAUCCGCGCCGCAUUAGCUAGUUGGUAAGGUAACGGCUUACCAAGGCGACGAUGCGUAGCCGACCUGAGAGGGUGAUAGGCCACACUGGAACUGAGACACGGUCCAGACUCCUACGGGAGGCAGCAGUAGGGAAUAUUCCGCAAUGGGCGAAAGCCUGACGGAGCAACGCCGCGUGAGUGAUGAAGGUCUUCGGAUCGUAAAACUCUGUUAUUAGGGAAGAACAAAUGUGUAAGUAACUAUGCACGUCUUGACGGUACCUAAUCAGAAAGCCACGGCUAACUACGUG
Molecule: ribosomal RNA, 497 nt
Filed under: uncultured bacterium
Lineage: Bacteria
Description: partial 16S ribosomal RNA
Rfam family: Bacterial small subunit ribosomal RNA
Source: RNAcentral